Molecule: non-coding RNA, 54 nt
Organism: Salmo salar (Atlantic salmon)
Lineage: Eukaryota; Metazoa; Chordata; Actinopteri; Salmoniformes; Salmonidae
Source: Rfam
GGCACUCACUAUUGUAAGUCGCUCUGGAUAAGAGAAUCUGCUAAAUGACAAAAA